Molecule: ribosomal RNA, 500 nt
Filed under: uncultured bacterium
Lineage: Bacteria
Description: partial 16S ribosomal RNA
Rfam family: Bacterial small subunit ribosomal RNA
Source: RNAcentral
ACUCAAAGGAAUUGACGGGGGCCCGCACAAGCGGCGGAGCAUGUGGAUUAAUUCGAUGCAACGCGAAGAACCUUACCUGGGUUUGACAUGCACAGGACGCCGGCAGAGAUGUCGGUUCCCUUGUGGCCUGUGUGCAGGUGGUGCAUGGCUGUCGUCAGCUCGUGUCGUGAGAUGUUGGGUUAAGUCCCGCAACGAGCGCAACCCUUGUCUCAUGUUGCCAGCACGUAAUGGUGGGGACUCGUGAGAGACUGCCGGGGUCAACUCGGAGGAAGGUGGGGAUGACGUCAAGUCAUCAUGCCCCUUAUGUCCAGGGCUUCACACAUGCUACAAUGGCCGGUACAAAGGGCUGCGAUGCCGUGAGGUGGAGCGAAUCCUUGUUAAAGCCGGUCUCAGUUCGGAUCGGGGUCUGCAACUCGACCCCGUGAAGUCGGAGUCGCUAGUAAUCGCAGAUCAGCAACGCUGCGGUGAAUACGUUCCCGGGCCUUGUACACACCGCCCGU